Molossus molossus (Pallas's mastiff bat) is the source of this 107-nucleotide small nuclear RNA. Lineage: Eukaryota; Metazoa; Chordata; Mammalia; Chiroptera; Molossidae. The record is from RefSeq and is a predicted model, not a curated record.
GUGCCCACUUCAGUAGCACAUAUACUAAAAUUGGAACAAUACAGAGAACAUCAGCAUGGUCCCUGCGUAAAGGUGACAUGCAAAUUCAUGAAGCAUUCAAAAACAAA